Molecule: small nuclear RNA, 184 nt
Organism: Hyla sarda
Lineage: Eukaryota; Metazoa; Chordata; Amphibia; Anura; Hylidae
Product: U2 spliceosomal RNA
Exons: 1
Source: RefSeq, a predicted model, not a curated record
UUUGCUUCUCAUCCUUUUGGAUGAGACCAAGUGUAUUAUUUGUUCUUAACAGUGGCUGACUAGCUAUACUAGAUGGGAAUGGAGCUUUACAUGGAGACAAGCAGGUGUGCGCGGGCUGGCCCAUCAACUACAUGACCUUGUCCUUGCCAUUUGCACUGGAUAGGGUAAGAGCCGAGGUACCAGA